Long non-coding RNA from Oncorhynchus nerka (sockeye salmon), 2182 nucleotides. RefSeq lists it as uncharacterized. The transcript has 3 exons. NCBI's taxonomy places the organism in Eukaryota, Metazoa, Chordata, Actinopteri, Salmoniformes, Salmonidae. The record is from RefSeq and is a predicted model, not a curated record.
UCUAGUAUCUCUUCCUCUCUUCUCUUAACGCGUAUGGACACAGAACUUAAUCGAGCAGCUUACCAACUACGUGAGAAUUUAGUUCUGGGUUAACCGAGAUUAGCAAACCUGGAGUAUACUGCAAACCCAGUGAAAACAUUAAAACUUUGGUCUAACUAUGGAGGAUCUGUGAGCGUUUUCUCAGCCUUAACGUGGACCAUAUGACAUCCAUCAGAAGCAGCAGUGUUAGCUGAGAUUUCUAUUUUUUUCACUUACCCUCUCGGAGCAUUUCUUCCUGACGUCUGGGAGCCUCUUACCAGGCAAAAACUGGACCCCUCCGCUUCUAUCCCAUCGCAAUGGUCCCGCUGAACUGUCUCUAGUCUACACCACAGAGAAAGUACCUGGACUUACAGUCGAUCUCCUCUGAGACACCUGAGAAAUAGGAAGAUAAGCUGAGUUAUCAGACACCACAGCACUGAUGACAAGUACAAGACAGAAGCUUGGAUGUCCAGCAGAGAGAACGACAGAGAAAGAAAAAACAUCUUCAUCUGCCAGUACUCACCUCCAUAUAACCUUCUCACAACCAUAACUUUCCUUACUCUGUUACCAAGAGUACAGGAAGAGGCUCAGAAACUGCCACUCCAAUACAAAUCCCUGAUCACGCUGGUAGCUCAACCAAUCAGCAGAUGUAUAGAGACACCUGAUCUGAACAGUGCGUGUGCAGUAUGACACUCCUUGUAUGAAGUCGUUUUAAUGUUAAAAGUUACAAACAUUCCGAAUCAAUGUUAAAAGUUACAAAUGUUCUGUUUUAAUGUUAAAAGUAAACAUUUCUGUUUUUAUGUUUAAAGUUACAAACGUUCCGUUUCAAUGUGAAAAGUUACAUACGUUCCAUUUUAAUGUUAAAAGUAAACAUUUCUGUUUUUAUGUUUAAAGAUACAAAUGUUCCGUUUCAAUGUUAAAAGUUUCCAACCCCCACACUCUACCCGUCCUUACUCCCUAGUUUAACCUAUACCUAAAUGUCUUACUUUCAACCCCUGCCCCAUCUCUCCAUACCCUACCUGCCGACUGGUCCUAGCCCAGCCCAGACCUACCCUCCUUUCCUCUCAGACCCUACCCCUCACCACUGGGUGUUCCCUGCCUUACCUUAGCCCUUCGUAUCCUCUUCCUCCUGACUACAACACCCUUCCCUCCCUGUCCUCCUCCUACCCCUCUCUUCCCCAGUGGUUGGUUUGGGCUAGGGUUCGGAUGGGGCUGAGCCUUCUCCCAGAAUCACAUAGCUGGGAACUUAGUCAGCGGAGGGCAUGUGACUCAUCCCAGAGCUGCACCCAAACUACGCUCUAUAUGGUCUUCUGUUAAGACUACCACGCUUGUGUACACACACAUAUGUGCACGUGCACACACACAAUACACACGUGCAUGAGUGGUACAGCAUGAACACGCACAAAAAUAGGAAAGUACAUACAUACACAACCAGUCAUAGUAGUAUGGGAUGUGGGAGAAACGUCUGGGGCUGACACAGUCCAUUCAUAAUUAUUUUAAAUGGACAGCGUGAGUCACAUUGAGGAUAGACCUGUAUUACCCACACUGCUUUUCUGGCUACUAAAACCUUUGCAAGUUCAUGAAGCUGGAGUCUGUAGCUACGUAAAGACACCGUUAUACCACUGUAGGUACUCUCGUGGCUUUCAAAAGACAAUGACUGAAGUAGGGAUUCAAAACGAAUGAAGUAGGGAUUCAAAAUGACUGAAGUGGGAAAUCAAAUUGACUGAAGUAGGGAAUCAAAAUGACUGAAGUAGGGAAUCAAAACGACUGAAGUAGGAAAUCAAAAUGACUGAAGUAGGGAAUCAAAAUGACUGAAGUAGGGAAUCAAAAUGACUGAAGUAGGAAAUCAAAAUGACUGAAGUAGGGAAUCAAAAUGACUGAAGUAGGAAAUCAAAAUGACUGAAGUAGGGAUUCAAAAUGACUGAAGUAGGGAAUCAAAAUGACUGAAGUAGGAAAUCAAAAUGACUGAAGUAGGGAAUCAAAAUGACUGAAGUAGGGAUCAAAAUGACUGAAGUAGGUAAAUGAGGAAAUGUAAAUGAUGCCAAAUUAUGAAUAUAAUAUACAUUUGAAAUUAUGGAUUUUUUGGGGGCCAGUAUAAAAUUAUUAUUAUGACCCAGUUACUACAUAAUGCAUAGUGGUUGGGUGGGGCUCUAGGAAACCCAGU